UACUCAUCGACUGCUGGCUCAAUUGACUGACACCAAAGGGCUUCGCCCUUCAAGAGAUCCAGGGUUCAAAUCUCAGGUAUUACUCAAAAAUCAUUCAUAAAGUGAACCGAAGACGGUGUUUUCCUUGUAGAGCAGGGUUUAGCGUCUGCCUUAAAUUCAUUGAAUAUGCUAGCAUACAGAACCAUAAAGAAAUGCAAAGAACAA
Molecule: long non-coding RNA, 204 nt
Filed under: Elaeis guineensis (African oil palm)
Lineage: Eukaryota; Viridiplantae; Streptophyta; Magnoliopsida; Arecales; Arecaceae
Description: long non-coding RNA (EGUI_LNC021390)
Source: RNAcentral